RNAcentral lists this non-coding RNA (363 nucleotides) under Photobacterium proteolyticum. The record is from RNAcentral. Lineage: Bacteria; Pseudomonadati; Pseudomonadota; Gammaproteobacteria; Vibrionales; Vibrionaceae.
UAUGCCAGGGAGAUUGGCAACCUCAGGAUGAGGACGGUAGAUCAGGAAGAUUUAUCGAACAUGGACUGUGAAGGGACAAUCGGACGGAACCGAUAUAGCAAAUAGGAAAUUUGCUAGUCAGGAUGACAAAAUGGACCACUUCAGGAUGAAGCAAGGGACACCUCCAGGAAGGAGAUGAGAGUCGAGACAGGAUGCUUCGACGGGUCAAGGUAUGACCGAAAGGACAUCUCUAGGAAAGAGACAAAAAGGACUAAGCUGAAGGAAUCAGCAAAAUCAUGGAAUGAUGCAGGGAGCACCAUAGUAGCGGGAAUGCUGCAAGUAAGACCUAAGGGCGCGACGAAUGUCGCGCCCGCUCUUUUUUAU